This 421-nucleotide ribosomal RNA is filed under the name uncultured bacterium. Its description in RNAcentral is "bacterial SSU rRNA". It matches the Rfam family "Bacterial small subunit ribosomal RNA", at positions 357 to 775 of the family's 1533-position model. The record is from RNAcentral.
AGGAAUAUUGGUCAAUGGGCGCAAGCCUGAACCAGCCAUGCCGCGUGCAGGAAGACGGCUCUAUGAGUUGUAAACUGCUUUUGUACUAGGGUAAUUUGCGGUACGUGUACCGUAUUGAAAGUAUAGUACGAAUAAGGAUCGGCUAACUCCGUGCCAGCAGCCGCGGUAAUACGGAGGAUCCGAGCGUUAUCCGGAUUUAUUGGGUUUAAAUGGUGCGUAGGCGGUUUGAUAAGUUAGAGGUGAAAUGUCGGGGCUCAACCCCGAAACUGCCUCUAAUACUGUUGGACUAGAGAAUAGUUGCGGUAGGCGGAAUGUAUGGUGUAGCGGUGAAAUGCUUAGAGAUCAUACAGAACACCGAUUGCGAAGGCAGCUUACCAAACUAUAUCUGACGUUGAGGCACGAAAGCGUGGGUAGCAAACAG